GUAAUCCUCCUGCUUCAGCCUCCUGAGUAGCUGGGACUACAGAAUAGUAGAGAUGUCCAGUUGGAAAGGCUGUUACACAUCACCAAGUUCAAUCACCUUACUAUCACAGAAAAGCUUCCUUUUGUGAACAAGAGGGUUUUGGAACAUCACCAAAUGAUUUUUCAUACCCAGAUUAAAAGCUUUAAUCUUGAAGACUGUUCCUAACUAGUAUUCAGCCUGAAAUAAUGAAUGCAAUUAGAAUCUUAAAGAACAGAAAUAACCUGGCACUGACACUGCAAUGUGGAGGCAGAGUAAAAAAAAGGCUACAUGCUCUUUAACGAUGACAGAUGUUCUUUUCUAUGGACCUUUGAGGAGGUGAUAGAUGGAGCUCUAGCAAGUCAUCUGUGACCACGAGUCAAUGCUGAAGAUGGAAAACAGAUAUAAACAGAGAAAGAUGACAAAAGGAGUCUAAGUCCCUAAUGAUCAUGGAUCUCCCAUAUUACUCCUGGUCUACCUCCUUCUCAGGUAAUCAAAUCCGGUGGCCUCUCAAAACAGCAUCCUUUUCCAACCCAUUUUGGAUUUAAAUUAUUCAACAAGCAUCUAGCAAAUAUCUACUAUAUGUGAAGCAUUGGAGUGGGUGCUAUAGUAAUCGAACACCAGCAUCUGCCCUUCGGGAGUUCACAAUCUAGUAUGAAAAAGGGAAAUGCCUAUUAAUCUAAAUUAAUAAAAGACAGCGUAUGCAAAGGGCCAAAAUGAGACUAAACUGAAGUGCCACAAACCACAGGAGAAGGAUGUGUGAAGGAUCUCGGAGAGGUGGGCUUUGGAGAAGGACUGCAAUAGGCAUGUAUAGAAAUGGAAACACAUUCCAGCAAA
Non-coding RNA from Microcebus murinus (gray mouse lemur), 852 nucleotides. The record is from RefSeq and is a predicted model, not a curated record. Lineage: Eukaryota; Metazoa; Chordata; Mammalia; Primates; Cheirogaleidae.